GAUGAACGCUGGCGGCGUGCCUAAUACAUGCAAGUCGAGCGAACGGGCGAGAAGCUUGCUUCUCUGAUGUUAGCGGCGGACGGGUGAGUAACACGUGGAUAACCUACCUAUAAGACUGGGAUAACUUCGGGAAACCGGAGCUAAUACCGGAUAAUAUUUUGAACCGCAUGGUUCAAAAGUGAAAGACGGUCUUGCUGUCACUUAUAGAUGGAUCCGCGCUGCAUUAGCUAGUUGGUAAGGUAACGGCUUACCAAGGCAACGAUGCAUAGCCGACCUGAGAGGGUGAUCGGCCACACUGGUACUGAGACACGGUCCAGACUCCUACGGGAGGCAGCAGUAGGGAAUCUUCCGCAAUGGGCGAAAGCCUGACGGAGCAACGCCGCGUGAGUGAUGAAGGUCUUCGGAUCGUAAAACUCUGUUAUUAGGGAAGAACAUAUGUGUAAGUAACUGUGCACAUCUUGACGGUACCUAAUCAGAAAGCCACGGCUAACUACGUG
RNAcentral lists this ribosomal RNA (497 nucleotides) under uncultured bacterium. Its description in RNAcentral is "partial 16S ribosomal RNA". It matches the Rfam family "Bacterial small subunit ribosomal RNA", at positions 28 to 507 of the family's 1533-position model. The record is from RNAcentral.